UGCCUGUGCUGUUCACUGCUGAAUUCAAGUGCAUAAUAGCAUAGUGGUGGGCUCACAGCACCCACUCCGUAAAAAGUGGUUUAAUGAAUGAAUGGCACUGCCCUCACUUAGAGCUGAUCUUUCCAUAACUUUUGGAAGAAAAGCUUUCCUCCUUACAAUGUAACUGUACAGAAAUUGCCUCCAUUUAGAAAUGUACCAAUGAGCAGAGAAUGAAAAGGAAGAGAAGUAUGGUUAUAGAGAGCAGUGGCACCUCUAGCACUGAGAAGCAAAAGGCAGUUGGGCACCAAGGUGAGAUGUAUUGUCUUUGUAAGGGUGACAAGGCCGAGUGGAUAAAAGGAUUAUAAAUACCACACAUUGCAUGAUGCCACAUACCUUUCAUAGGAAUGUCUCUUGCAUUUUGCUCAUCUAAAGUCCUCAAAGGCAAAGCGGGAAGACUGAGUAGGUAUCAGCUCCAGAGUACAUAGAAAAAUGAUCACUGAGGAGUCGGGAGAGCAGGCUGCUAGUGGAGCUCGCAUCAGAAUCCAGGUCUUCUCAUGCUAUUGAGAAGUUGAAGAACAACAACAAAAGAACCCGUAAUCUUAUUGAUUGGGAUGUGCUGAAAAUUUUAACUGAAGUAUAUUUUCUAUAGCACUGAAAUUCAAUGCCUUUGAAAUGGUAACUCAUAGUACUGAAAGAUUCAGUUCCUUUCCUCAAGAAGCUUAAGAAGAAAUGCACAUAUGUGAUUGCAGAAAGCUAUGAUGGGCACCUUAAAAGAUUUUCGUGAGGACUAAAUAAGUACUUCAAGUACUGAACUAAUUACUGUCAUCCUGAGGAGUGUAAUGAAGCAUACAGUCAAGUUGUUACAGUUUGAAAAGGUUAAAGCAGCUUCGGGGAUCAUGAUUUGUGCUUCUUGGGUACUGGAACAUCAUGCCAGUAAUAAACGAUAUGAAAGCCAAUGACAAAGAAGCAAUUAGUUCUCUGCAUUGGUGAAAGGCUGCCCAGCUACAGAGUGGAUGGUAAAGGCCGUGAAUUCUUUUCAUUUGAGGUUGAACUGAGUCACGAAGACUCAAGCCAGGGGUGAGUAAAUCUUGUCAGCCUGUCAGCAGCAUUUAUUGGGUUUCCACCAUCUGAUUAUCAUAUAAUUAGGUCUAAACAAGUCCUCAAAAGUUUAGAAUACAUGUUCUAUGAUGUCAGUAAGCAGCUUGGAGUCAGUAACCUAACCAAAGUGUACUAUGCUUUGGUUGAGACUUAGAUUUGGAGUAGACUAUGUAUCUUACAAAACAAUAUUUUUGACUUGAUCAGUAACAAAGAAACUACGAGGGUAGGUAAUUUCAUGUUGACCAUACGUCUCUUUCAAGUUGUUGAAAUGUUUACAUAUUUCACCAAUGAUUUUGGUGCUUCUAGGAUUCCGAUUGCAUUUUAUUUGCGAACAACUAUUAUAUGCCAGUCACUGCUUUCUAGCAGUAGAGAUAUAAUGGUAAAGAAGAGUUAGUUGGUUCUCUUCAGAAUGUUACUGUCUAUGGGACUUGCCAUGGACAGAGUGACAGUGUGCUAAAUGAUACCCUGCUACUCUUCCCACUAAAGACAACACAGGAGAAAUAUCUCUGGCAGAUCCAUCACCGAAUCUGUAGAGAACAAUCUCUUAAGGCGUGGCAGACACAGAAUCCUAGGAGGAGUUGGGCUAGAUGGGGGCUCCUCCCCGCAGUCCUUGACCUUGUAAAACCUUCUACUUCUCUGAGUUUAAAGUAUACAUAAAUCAUUGUGGGAUCUUGUGAAAAUGAAGAUUCUUAUUCUGCAGAUCUGGGAUGAAUCCUGAGAUUGUGCAUUUCUUCUAGGUGAUACUGAUGGUUCUGCUCUGUAGACCAAACUCAAAAAAUUCCCAUUGCAUGGAAAUAUCCUUAGACAAACACUUGACUACAGUAUAAAUGACCUAAAAUCAGUUUUUUAAAAAAAAUUUAUGAGACAUAAUGUGGUAAAGUAAUAAGGAAGAAAAUAUCCUGGCAGGGUAGAAAGAUGUAGUCUCAGAAAUACAGUAGUGUGGAAGUGACCUUUCUGAGAAAAUAUAUCUUGGGGAGGAAACUACAAUGAAAGAAGCAAGCAAUAUUUUCAAUCAGCAUUAAAAUAUGAAUGCAGAUGAAGCAUGUAGCCUGAAGAUGACAGUAGAUAAAUAGCAUUUUUUACUCUGGAAUUAUAAAUUAUCUUUCAUGCCAGCAAACGUUUAUGUUUUCCUGGGUUUCUUGGUUAACAUAGCUUACUGAAAGGGAAGCAUAGAACUUGUAAGCUUUUAAAAGGUAGCAGAAAUCAUGAGAGCUGCAAAGUCUUCACUAAUAUUUGUGCUACUCAGCAAAUUUAUUAUUUGAUUCACCUAUCCCAAGUUGACACCCUUCAGGGAGGGGAAAGUAGAAUUUUUGCAGAGGUAAGUUUCCUAAAGACUUUAAAAAAUGGCUUUACCUUUGGGACUGUUAGGCCUAAUUGUAAAUAAAUUCUUGCUGCAUUCACAUCAGCAGUCCUGGAUUAGUUAAGAGCUUUACUUGUGUGUGCCAAAACACAUUUUUCAAAAAUGGCUGAAACUAUGUAAUCAGCAACUUCGAGUUUGAUAGAAAAUUACACAGAAAUCAGGACCCGUUUCUCCUUGUCCUAGCACCCUGCACUCAACUAAAUGAUGACUCUUCCUCCUAAGGAAAUAGUCAUUAUAUCUUCAAAACACUUACAGAUUAUUACUAUGCUUGCAUUUGGCACACUGAACAUAUUUUGCUCCUUUUCUCUUGUAUUCCUUUUUUGUUUUUUGCAUUUUAAAUCAGAUAUCAAUACUUCUGGUUCCAGUGAUUUUUUUCCCCUUCGAAGUUACAGCAGCUACUGUUUUUGAAGACAAAGUAUAAGAAACAUUUUUUCUCUUUUGAAUGAAGUCUGGAACUUGCUGAAAAUAAUGUCCUUGUACAAUGAUUUCAACUUGGCUGACUACAACACUGGUGUCCACUGAGGGUUGAUGCUUUUAAAACUGGAUAUGAACUGAACUCCCUAAACACAUCUGAGAAAGGUCUAAAACCAAGUCUUACUAUAAAAUAUAGAUCGUAUAUGUGUGUAGUUGUGUUUCUGUACAUUUUAAAAACAUUUCCUUAAGGAGUACACAUCAGUAAACACCAGUGAAUAGAACAACAAAGAAGUUAAAAUAUUCUUCAGACCCCUAGGGCAAACACAUGUCUUUGAAAAAAAUCACAACACAGAGAACGCGGGUCUAAAAAAUAUACUAUUAUCCUAUUUUUUCCAACUUUCAUAAGGGCAAGAGCCUCUUGUCAAUACAGGAAGUUUAUAUUAUUAGUUCAUUGUACAGUGAUGUUUCUCAAAGUGUAGUACACUAACUUGGAAUAUUUGUUAAAACUGCUGAUUCUUGGGCCUAACCCCAGACCUUUGGAAUGAAAGUCAUUGGAUUAUGUAUUUUCUGUAAUCAUUCCUAAGUAAAUCGUAUGUAACUGAAGUUUGAAAACUAUUAGCAAACUAGGUAAGAAAGAAAAGUCUACUUGAAACUUUCCCUGGGAAUAGCAAGGAAGCUCUUUAAAGAAGUCUACGUAUUAAUUAGCUAAAAGUGCCAUAUAUCUACUCAUCUUACCCUAAAUUUUUUUCCUUUUAUUUUCAGUUGACAUGUAAUAAUUUUGUAUAUUUAUGGCAUAUAGUGCACACAAUGUGUAAGGAUCAAAUCAAGGCAAUUAUCAUAUCCAUCACUUAGAAUAUUGAUCAUUUGUUUGAGUUGUGAACAUUCAAUAUUCUCUCUUCUAGCUUUUUGAAAAUAUACACUAAAUUAUUGUUAACCAUAUUUACUCUAGAGUGUUAAAUAACACUAGAACUUAUUCCUCCCAUGUAGCUGUAACUUUGUAUAUGUUAACUAGUCUCUUCCUAUCUUCCUCUCCUGCCACCCUUUUCAUCCCCUAAUGAUAACAGAGAACAAUAAUACUAUAAUAAUAAAUAUAGCUCAUAAUACUUCUAUGAGCUAUAUUUUUUAGCUCUCAUACAUGAGUGAGAACACAUAGUAUUUAUCUUUUUGUGCCUUUCUUAUUUCACUUAACGUAAUGUCCUCCAGGCUCAUCUUUGUUGCCACAAAUGACAGGAUUUCAUUAUUUUAAUGGUUGAAUAGUCUUCCAUUGUGAAUAUAUACCACAUUUUCUUUAUUCAUUCAUCCCCUGAUGGACAUUUAGAUUGAUUCCAUAUCUUUGCUAUUGUAAAUAGUGCUGCAAUAAACAUGGAGGUACAGGUAUCCCUUUGACACAUUGAUUUCCUUUUCUUUGAUAAAUACCCAGUAGUGAGAUUGCUUUAUCAAAUGGUAUUUUUAGUUUUUGGAGAAACCUACAUACCAUUGUCCAUAAUGACUGUAGUAGUUUAAUUGGUGCUAAUAGUGUUCAAGAGUUCUCAUUUCUCUGCAUCCUUACCAGGAAUUCUUAUUUUUUGCUUUCUUGAUAAUAGCUUGUCUACCUGGGGUAAUAUGAUAUUAUUUAUAUUUAUGUUUAUAUAUAAAUAGAUUGGUAAAUGUAAGUAAGUGUUUCCAUGAGUUUUGUGAGCUACUCUAGCAAAUUAAUCAAACCCAAAGAGGGGGUCAUGGGAACCCCAACUUAAACCCAGUUCAAGAGAAGUUCAUGGUUUUUGGCUUAUAACUCCCAUAUCCCUUGUUACCAAUUUUUUUUUGUUGUAAUGAAGCAGAAUCUUAGGACUGUAUUUAAUUGUGGAUGAUAAGACCCUCAUUUAAGACAGGGUCCUGCCCCAAACUUGGGAGUAAGAAACACUGCACAGAGAGGCCAAGAAGAAUCUGUAAAGAUAGGACUUGCUGCAUUUAGAUCAUACCUUUUAUGUUCAGUCACAUUUCUACAUGGUUGUCAAUCAUGCCUAUCCUAUGAAGUCGCCGUAAAAGGUGCAAGAAGACAGGAUUUGGGGGAGCUUUCUGAUAACUGAACACAUGAAGAUUACUACAGGGUGCUGCAUCCAGGAAGGACAUGGGAUCUCCAUGCUUCUUCCCACAUACCUUGCCUUAUAAUAUCUGUAUUAGUCUGUUCUUGCACUGCUAUAAAGACAUACCUGAGACUGGGUAAUUUAUAAAGGAAAGAGGUUUAAUUGGCCCAUGGUUCUGUGGGCUCCUACAGGCUUCUGCUUCCAAGGAGGCCUCAGAAAACUUACAAUCAUGGUGGAAGGUGAAGGGGAAGUAGACACAUCUUCACAUGGCCAGCAGGAGAGAGACAGAACAAAGGGGGAA
Chlorocebus sabaeus (green monkey) is the source of this 5215-nucleotide non-coding RNA. NCBI's taxonomy places the organism in Eukaryota, Metazoa, Chordata, Mammalia, Primates, Cercopithecidae. The record is from RefSeq and is a predicted model, not a curated record.